Molecule: long non-coding RNA, 211 nt
Filed under: Elaeis guineensis (African oil palm)
Lineage: Eukaryota; Viridiplantae; Streptophyta; Magnoliopsida; Arecales; Arecaceae
Description: long non-coding RNA (EGUI_LNC007997)
Source: RNAcentral
CGCCCAUGUCUACACCCAAACUGCAUCCAGGCCCGCUCAUGAGCCCAUUCUCAUGUGAGCCGCACCCAGCCUUCUCUCAUGAACCGCUUCUGUGCGCACACUUUCAAACCAUGCCCCACUCGCCCACGAGCCUGCUUGCGCUUGAACUGAAACACGCACCCAUAUUCCCAUCCACUGUGGUAGUCCACACUACCAACCCCAUGCACCAUGC